Long non-coding RNA from Astatotilapia calliptera (eastern happy), 1234 nucleotides. The record is from Ensembl. NCBI's taxonomy places the organism in Eukaryota, Metazoa, Chordata, Actinopteri, Cichliformes, Cichlidae.
UAUGAAAGCUUUAGCUCUUCCUUUAUCAAAGACAUUGCAAUCAUUUUUUGGUUUUUUUAAAUCAUACUUUUAGCUAUGAGCUAAAGUGGGAGUAACUACUGGGCUGCUGUGGUAAAGUCUAUUAGAUUACUUAAGGUUCACAUCUUUUAACACUCAUAAAAGUUACACUUUGUUUUCCUUUUUAGCAGUGAAUGUUCAUAGAAAGUUUUUUCACUAAUUCUAAUAUUUGUACCAAAAUAUUUUCUCGUUGUUUAUCUCAAUGUACUUAAAUACUAAUUUGUUAUGUAUGAAAUGUAUAUAUUUUAUUACCAAACGUAAGUUUCUGUGUAAAGGCUUCUUUUCUUUGAUGACAUGGAAAGGUGUAAUUUGUUCUUCUGUAACUGUCUUUUUGGUACAUGGAGCACUGUGAAUGUUUUUUUUUUUUUUAAUACUUGUUUUUUUUUUUCACUUUUAUAAACAAGUAGGUUUAGGGUAAUGUGUAUAAUGUAUAGUUAAUAGAAAAAAACCCAUUCAGGUGCCAUGCAAGAAAUUUGUAAAUGAUGUUGCUUAACUCAACUGUGAAACAUCACUGUACUAAGUCGCCGUGCAGCUCUGGCUUUUUGGGAAUUAGUUCAUCAGCCUUGAAACUGUGACCGCAGUCAGGACAGUACGCCAAAAUCUGAAGAAUGGAGUGUAAUGAAAUGUGAAUGUGUGGCCUUUUUCAGCACCAAAAAGAAAAGUGUAUAAACAAGAGUAAAAUAAACAUUUUUGUCUUGUUUUUUACAAAGUUGCUGAUAAUGUUUGUUUUUGUUUAACACCCUGUAUAGUUUUGUAUCCUGAUAUAUUGACGUAUGAUUUUUAAUGUCAAUUCUAACAUGUUUAAUAACCACAUACAAUAAGGUUGAAGUGUUGUUCACACAAUACUGACAAUAGAAACUGAGUGUGAUUUACAUCCACACAAUCUACCUGAGAUCUGGUCAGAUAUUUUGCAACACCUUUCUAUAUUUUUUCAAGAUUGAUUUGUAAAAUUAAAUUCAGCAAUAAAGUUUUUUAAAGUUGUUUUUUUUAAACUGCAUGAUGGGUAAUUUUUGUCUAUUUAAGAGCUUUCAUUUCUCCUUUUUCUCUUUAAUGAACACAUGCACACCACAUGCUUCAAGAAGAACACAGAUCCUGUUUUUUUUUUUUGUCCGGUGUAGCACACUUUCAGAGUACUCCAUCACAUGAAAGUCCUGCAUGGAAAACUGCAGGAUCCACU